UACGUAGGGUGCAAGCGUUAAUCGGAAUUACUGGGCGUAAAGCGUGCGCAGGCGGUUCGUCGUGUCUGAUGUGAAAGCCCCGGGCUCAACCUGGGAAUGGCAUUGGAAACUGGCGGACUAGAGUGUGGCAGAGGGGGGUGGAAUUCCGCGUGUAGCAGUGAAAUGCGUAGAGAUCCGGAAGAACACCGGUGGCGAAGGCGGCCUGCUGGGCAGUUUUGCUGACACUGAGGCGCGACAGCGUGGGGAGCAAACAGG
Molecule: ribosomal RNA, 255 nt
Filed under: uncultured bacterium
Lineage: Bacteria
Description: partial 16S ribosomal RNA
Rfam family: Bacterial small subunit ribosomal RNA
Source: RNAcentral